RNAcentral lists this ribosomal RNA (377 nucleotides) under uncultured eukaryote. RNAcentral's name for it is "partial 18S ribosomal RNA". It matches the Rfam family "Eukaryotic small subunit ribosomal RNA", at positions 592 to 975 of the family's 1831-position model. The record is from RNAcentral.
CAAUAGCGUAUAUUUAAGUUGUUGCAGUUAAAAAGCUCGUAGUUGGAUUUCGGGUGGGUACCGCCGGUCUCCCAUUGGGUAUGUACUGGCGUGGCCCGCCUUGCUGUCGGGGACGGUCUCCUGGGCUUAAUUGCUCGGGAAUCGGAGUCGACGAUGUUACUUUGAGUAAAUUAGAGUGUUCAAAGCAAGCCUACGCUCUGAAUAUGAUAGCAUGGGAUAACACGACAGGACUCUGGCCUAUCGUGUUGGUCUGUAGGACCGGAGUAAUGAUUAAGAGGGACAGUCGGGGGCAUUCGUAUUCCAUUGUCAGAGGUGAAAUUCUUGGAUUUAUGGAAGACGAACAUCUGCGAAAGCAUUUGCCAAGGAUGUUUNCAUUG